UACGUAGGAUGCGAGCGUUAUCCGGAUUUAUUGGGUUUAAAGGGUGCGUAGGCGGGAUGCCAAGUCAGCGGUAAAAAUGCGGUGCUCAACGCCGUCGAGCCUUUGAAACUGGCGUUCUUGAGUGGGCGAGAAGUAUGCGGAAUGCGUGGUGUAGCGGUGAAAUGCAUAGAUAUCACGCAGAACUCCGAUUGCGAAGGCAGCAUACCGGCGCCCUACUGACGCUGAGGCACGAAAGCGUGGGUAUCGAACAGG
This 252-nucleotide ribosomal RNA is filed under the name uncultured bacterium. RNAcentral describes it as "partial 16S ribosomal RNA". It matches the Rfam family "Bacterial small subunit ribosomal RNA", at positions 524 to 776 of the family's 1533-position model. The record is from RNAcentral.